CCUACGGGAGACUGCAGUGAGGAAUAUUGGUCAAUGGGCGGGAGCCUGAACCAGCCAAGUAGCGUGCAGGAUGAAUGCCCUACGGGUCGUAAACUUCUUUUACAAAGGGAUAAAACGCUGCACUUGUGCCGUUUUGCAUGUACUGUGUGAAUAAGGACCGGCUAAAUCCGUGCCAGCAGCCGCGGUAAUACGGAAGAUCCGAGCGUUAUCCGGAUUUAGUGGGUUUAAAGGGAGCGUAGAGGGGUUGUUAAGUCAGUGUUGAAAGUUUGCGGCUCAACCGUCACAUUGCAAUUGAUAAUGGCAGCCUUGAUUACACUUGAGGGAGGCGGAAUUCGUGGUGUAGCGGUGAAAUGCUUAGAUAUCACGAAGACACCCGAUUGCGAAGGCAGCCUACUAAACUGCCACUGACAUUGAUGCUCGAAGGUGUGGGUAUCAAACAGGAUUAGAUACCCUGGUAGUC
RNAcentral lists this ribosomal RNA (460 nucleotides) under uncultured bacterium. Its description in RNAcentral is "partial 16S ribosomal RNA". It matches the Rfam family "Bacterial small subunit ribosomal RNA", at positions 338 to 795 of the family's 1533-position model. The record is from RNAcentral.